GCCAGGCGUGGUGGCGCAUGCCUGUAAUCCCAGCUACUCGGGAGGCUGAGGCAGGAGAAUUGCUUGAACCUGGGAGGCAGAGGUUGCAGUGAGCCGAGAUUGCACCACUGCACUCCAGCCUGGGUGACAGAGCAAGACUCUGUCUCGG
Molecule: non-coding RNA, 148 nt
Organism: Pan troglodytes (chimpanzee)
Lineage: Eukaryota; Metazoa; Chordata; Mammalia; Primates; Hominidae
Rfam family: Metazoan signal recognition particle RNA
About the family: The signal recognition particle (SRP) is a universally conserved ribonucleoprotein. It is involved in the co-translational targeting of proteins to membranes. The eukaryotic SRP consists of a 300-nucleotide 7S RNA and six proteins: SRPs 72, 68, 54, 19, 14, and 9.
Source: Rfam